AAUCCAUAGGUUAAUGAGGCGAACCGGGGGAACUGAAACAUCUAAGUACCCCGAGGAAAAGAAAUCAACCGAGAUUCCCCCAGUAGCGGCGAGCGAACGGGGAGGAGCCCAGAGCCUGAAUCAGCAUGUGUGUUAGUGGAAGCGUCUGGAAAGGCGCGCGAUACAGGGUGACAGCCCCGUACACAAAAGCGCAUGUGCUGUGAGCUCGAUGAGUAGGGCGGGACACGUGGUAUCCUGUCUGAAUAUGGGGGGACCAUCCUCCAAGGCUAAAUACUCCUGACUGACCGAUAGUGAACCAGUACCGUGAGGGAAAGGCGAAAAGAACCCCGGCGAGGGGAGUGAAAAAGAACCUGAAACCGUGUACGUACAAGCAGUGGGAGCACCCUUUGGGGUGUGACUGCGUACCUUUUGUAUAAUGGGUCAGCGACUUAUAUUCUGUAGCAAGGUUAACCGUAUAGGGGAGCCGGAGGGAAACCGAGUCUUAAUUGGGCGUUAAGUUGCAGGGUAUAGACCCGAAACCCGGUGAUCUAGCCAUGGGCAGGUUGAAGGUUGGGUAACACUAACUGGAGGACCGAACCGACUAAUGUUGAAAAAUUAGCGGAUGACCUGUGGCUGGGGGUGAAAGGCCAAUCAAACCGGGAGAUAGCUGGUUCUCCCCGAAAGCUAUUUAGGUAGCGCCUCGUGAAUUCAUCUCCGGGGGUAGAGCACUGUUUCGGCUAGGGGGCCAUCCCGGCUUACCAACCCGAUGCAAACUGCGAAUACCGGAGAAUGUUAUCACGGGAGACACACGGCGGGUGCUAACGUCCGUCGUGAAGAGGGAAACAACCCAGACCGCCAGCUAAGGUCCCAAAGUCAUGGUUAAGUGGGAAACGAUGUGGGAAGGCCCAGACAGCCAGGAUGUUGGCUUAGAAGCAGCCAUCAUUUAAAGAAAGCGUAAUAGCUCACUGGUCGAGUCGGCCUGCGCGGAAGAUGUAACGGGGCUAAACCAUGCACCGAAGCUGCGGCAGCGACGCUUAUGCGUUGUUGGGUAGGGGAGCGUUCUGUAAGCCUGUGAAGGUGGCCUGUGAGGG
RNAcentral lists this ribosomal RNA (1070 nucleotides) under Salmonella enterica subsp. enterica serovar Kottbus. Its description in RNAcentral is "partial 23S ribosomal RNA". It matches the Rfam family "Bacterial large subunit ribosomal RNA", at positions 161 to 1269 of the family's 2925-position model. Lineage: Bacteria; Pseudomonadati; Pseudomonadota; Gammaproteobacteria; Enterobacterales; Enterobacteriaceae. The record is from RNAcentral.